Molecule: ribosomal RNA, 439 nt
Filed under: uncultured bacterium
Lineage: Bacteria
Description: partial 16S ribosomal RNA
Rfam family: Bacterial small subunit ribosomal RNA
Source: RNAcentral
CUACGGGGGGCUGCAGUGAGGAAUAUUGCACAAUGGGGGGAACCCUGAUGCAGCAACGCCGCGUGGAGGAUGACGCAUUUCGGUGUGUAAACUCCUUUUAUAUGUCAAGAAAAUGACGGAAGCAUAUGAAUAAGCACCGGCUAACUCCGUGCCAGCAGCCGCGGUAAUACGGAGGGUGCAAGCGUUGUUCGGAUUUACUGGGCGUAAAGCGCACGUAGGCGGCGCAAUUAGUCAGGGGUGAAAGGCCUGGGCUCAACCUGGGAACUGCCUUUGAUACUGUUGUGCUGGAGUCCGGGAGGGGGUGGCGGAAUUCCCAGUGUAGAGGUGAAAUUCGUAGAUAUCACUAGGAAUACCUAAAGCGAAGGCGAUCUCCUGGAACAUUACUGGCGCUAAGGCGUGAAAGCGUGGGGAGCAAACAGGAUUAGAUACCCUGGUAGUC